GAUGAACGCUGGCGGCGUGCCUAAUACAUGCAAGUCGAGCGAACGGACGAGAAGCUUGCUUCUCUGAUGUUAGCGGCGAACGGGUGAGUAACACGUGGAUAACCUACCUAUAAGACUGGGAUAACUUCGGGAGACCGUAGCUAAUACCGGAUAAUAUUUUGAACCGCAUGGUUCAAAAGUGAAAGACGGUCUUGCUGUCACUUAUAGAUGGAUCCGCGCUGCAUUAGCUAGUUGGUAAGGUAACGGCUUACCAAGGCAACGAUGCAUAGCCGACCUGAGAGGGUGAUCGGCCACACUGGAACUGAGACACGGUCCAGACUCCUACGGGAGGCAGCAGUAGGGAAUCUUCCGCAAUGGGCGAAAGCCUGACGGAGCAACGCCGCGUGAGUGAUGAAGGUCUUCGGAUCGUAAAACUCUGUUAUUAGGGAAGAACAUAUGUGUAAGUAACUGUGCACAUCUUGACGGUACCUAAUCAGAAAGCCACGGCUAACUACGUG
RNAcentral lists this ribosomal RNA (497 nucleotides) under uncultured bacterium. Its description in RNAcentral is "partial 16S ribosomal RNA". It matches the Rfam family "Bacterial small subunit ribosomal RNA", at positions 28 to 507 of the family's 1533-position model. The record is from RNAcentral.